This 441-nucleotide ribosomal RNA is filed under the name uncultured bacterium. RNAcentral's name for it is "partial 16S ribosomal RNA". It matches the Rfam family "Bacterial small subunit ribosomal RNA", at positions 338 to 795 of the family's 1533-position model. The record is from RNAcentral.
CCUACGGGAGGCAGCAGUGGGGAAUAUUGCACAAUGGGGGAAACCCUGAUGCAGCGACGCCGCGUGAGUGAAGAAGUAUUUCGGUAUGUAAAGCUCUAUCAGCAGGGAAGAAGAAAGACGGUACCUGACUAAGAAGCCCCGGCUAACUACGUGCCAGCAGCCGCGGUAAUACGUAGGGGGCACGCGUUAUCCGGAUUUACUGGGUGUAAGGGGAGCGUAGACGGCUGUGCAAGUCUGAAGUGAAAGCCCAGGGCUCAACCCUGGGACUGCAUUGGAAACUGUGGAGCUAGAGUGCUGGAGAGGUAAGUGGAAUUCCUAGUGUAGCGGUGAAAUGCGUAGAUAUUAGGAGGAACACCAGUGGCGAAGGCGGCUUACUGGACAGUAACUGACGUUGAGGCUCGAAAGCGUGGGGAGCAAACAGGAUUAGAUACCCGUGUAGUC